AGGGCAGUAGCUCUAAUGGUAGAGCGGCGGUCUCCAAAACCGCAUGCUGGGGGUUCGAGUCCCUCCUGCCCUG
RNAcentral lists this transfer RNA (73 nucleotides) under Myxococcota bacterium. RNAcentral's name for it is "tRNA-Trp". It matches the Rfam family "tRNA". Rfam says of the family: Transfer RNA (tRNA) molecules are approximately 80 nucleotides in length. Their secondary structure includes four short double-helical elements and three loops (D, anti-codon, and T loops). The record is from RNAcentral. Lineage: Bacteria; Pseudomonadati; Myxococcota.